GACGAACGCUGGCGGCGUGCUUAACACAUGCAAGUCGAACGGAAAGGCCUCUUUCGGGGGGUACUCAAGAGUCGAACGGGUGAGUAACACGUGAGUAACCUGCCCUUGACAUUGUGAUAACUUCAGGAAACUGGGGCUAAUACCGGAGAGGAGCUCCUGCUGCAUGGGGUGGGUUGGGAGGUUUCGGCGGUGGGGGAUGGACUCGCGGCUUAUCAGCUUGUUGGUGGGGUAGUGGCUUACCAAGGCUUUGACGGGUAGCCGGCCUGAGAGGGUGACCGGCCACAUUUGGACUGGGAUAAGGCCCAGACUCCCAAGGGAGGCAGCAGUGGGGAAUAUUGCACAAUGGGUCGAAGCCUGAUGCCGCCACGCCGUGUGCGGGAUGGAGGCCUUCGGGUUGUAAACCGCUUUCGCUCAUGAAGAAGCUUUGUGUGACGGUAGUGGGUAAAGAAGCACCGGCUAACUACGUG
Molecule: ribosomal RNA, 467 nt
Filed under: uncultured bacterium
Lineage: Bacteria
Description: partial 16S ribosomal RNA
Rfam family: Bacterial small subunit ribosomal RNA
Source: RNAcentral